UGAGGAAUAUUGGUCAAUGGGGGCAACCCUGAACCAGCCAAGUCGCGUGAAGGAUGACGGUCUUAUGGAUUGUAAACUUCUUUUAUACAGGAAUAAAUUGGGGGACGUGUCCCCUUUUGCAUGUACUGUAUGAAUAAGGAUCGGCUAACUCCGUGCCAGCAGCCGCGGUAAUACGGAGGAUCCGAGCGUUAUCCGGAUUUAUUGGGUUUAAAGGGUGCGCAGGCGGGAUGUUAAGUCGGCGGUGAAAUUUUGCAGCUCAACUGUAAAAGUGCCUUCGNUACUGGCUUCCUUGAGUGUAGAUGAAGUAGGCGGAAUUUGUGGUGUAGCGGUGAAAUGCUUAGAUAUCACGAGGAACUCCGAUUGCGCAGGCAGCUUACUAAACUACAACUGACGCUCAUGCACGAAGGCGUG
This 411-nucleotide ribosomal RNA is filed under the name uncultured bacterium. Its description in RNAcentral is "bacterial SSU rRNA". It matches the Rfam family "Bacterial small subunit ribosomal RNA", at positions 355 to 763 of the family's 1533-position model. The record is from RNAcentral.